This 400-nucleotide ribosomal RNA is filed under the name uncultured Alphaproteobacteria bacterium. RNAcentral's name for it is "bacterial SSU rRNA". It matches the Rfam family "Bacterial small subunit ribosomal RNA", at positions 9 to 429 of the family's 1533-position model. The record is from RNAcentral. Lineage: Bacteria; Pseudomonadati; Pseudomonadota; Alphaproteobacteria.
GAGUUUGAUCCUGGCUCAGAACGAACGCUGGCGGCAUGCCUAACACAUGCAAGUCGAACGGGAUCCUGGCUUCGGUCAGGUGAGAGUGGCGGACGGGUGAGUAACGCGUGGGAACCUGCCCAGUGGUGGGGGAUAACUGCGGGAAACUGCAGCUAAUACCGCAUGAGCCCGAGAGGGGAAAGAUUUAUCGCCAUUGGAGGGGCCCGCGUUCGAUUAGGUAGUUGGUGAGGUAAAGGCCCACCAAGGCGACGAUCAGUAGCUGGUCUGAGAGGACGAUCAGCCACACUGGGACUGAGACACGGCCCAGACUCCUACGGGAGGCAGCAGUGGGGAAUUUUGGACAAUGGGGGCAACCCUGAUCCAGCAAUGCCGCGUGUGUGAAGAAGGCCUCGGUUGUAAG